UACGUAGGGUGCGAGCGUUAAUCGGAAUUACUGGGCGUAAAGCGUGCGCAGGCGGUUCUGGAAGUCAGCUGUGAAAGCCCCGGGCUUAACCUGGGAAUUGCGGUUGAAACUACAGGGCUAGAAUCUGGCAGAGGGGGGUGGAAUUCCACGUGUAGCAGUGAAAUGCGUAGAGAUGUGGAGGAACACCGAUGACGAAGGCAGCCCCCUGGGCUGAGAUUGACGCUCAGGCACGAAAGCGUGGGGAGCAAACAGG
Molecule: ribosomal RNA, 253 nt
Filed under: uncultured bacterium
Lineage: Bacteria
Description: partial 16S ribosomal RNA
Rfam family: Bacterial small subunit ribosomal RNA
Source: RNAcentral